UACGUAGGGUGCAAGCGUUAAUCGGAAUUACUGGGCGUAAAGCGUGCGCAGGCGGCCAUGCAAGACAGAUGUGAAAUCCCCGGGCUCAACCUGGGAACUGCAUUUGUGACUGCAUGGCUCGAGUACGGCAGAGGGGGAUGGAAUUCCGCGUGUAGCAGUGAAAUGCGUAGAUAUGCGGAGGAACACCGAUGGCGAAGGCAAUCCCCUGGACCUGUACUGACGCUCAUGCACGAAAGCGUGGGGAGCAAACAGG
Molecule: ribosomal RNA, 253 nt
Filed under: uncultured bacterium
Lineage: Bacteria
Description: partial 16S ribosomal RNA
Rfam family: Bacterial small subunit ribosomal RNA
Source: RNAcentral